AGUGAACGCUGGCGGUAGGCCUAACACAUGCAAGUCGAACGGCAGCACAGGAGAGCUUGCUCUCUGGGUGGCGAGUGGCGGACGGGUGAGGAAUACAUCGGAAUCUACUCUGUCGUGGGGGAUAACGUAGGGAAACUUACGCUAAUACCGCAUACGACCUACGGGUGAAAGCAGGGGACCUUCGGGCCUUGCGCGAUUGAAUGAGCCGAUGUCGGAUUAGCUAGUUGGCGGGGGAAAGGCCCACCAAGGAGACGAUCCGUAGCUGGUCUGAGAGGAUGAUCAGCCACACUGGGACUGAGACACGGUCCAGACUCCUACGGGAUGCAGCAGUGGGGAAUAUUGGACAAUGGGCGCAAGCCUGAUCCAGCCAUACCGCGUGGGUGAAGAAGGCCUUCGGGUUGUAAAGCCCUUUUGUUGGGAAAGAAAUCCAGCUGGCUAAUACCCGGUUGGGAUGACGGUACCCAAAGAAUAAGCACCGGCUAACUUCGUGCCAGCCGCCGCGGUAA
Molecule: ribosomal RNA, 506 nt
Filed under: uncultured bacterium
Lineage: Bacteria
Description: partial 16S ribosomal RNA
Rfam family: Bacterial small subunit ribosomal RNA
Source: RNAcentral